UAAAAGUAGGCAAGAGCAAAUGGAAAUGUUUUUUUGGGGGGGGGGUUUUUAGGGGUAGUCACAAAGAUGUUAUGAGAAGGGUCCCGAGGUUACAACCUUGAGGAACUCCCUACGUGAUAUUUGGCUGUACAGGUCUAUUUAGCACAGUGUCAAACAAUUUCAGCUACUUUUACAAUUUAUCAGUCAGGAUGUGAAUAAUCAACAGUGUGGACACAGGUGGUGGGACAUGGAGCUUGAGCUGUUUUACAGACAGACAGACGGAUGGAUGGUAAAGUAGUUGAGGGCAAGUUAUGUGAAAAGUAAACUUUACUCCUAUAUUUUUUUUUUUUUUAGUUUUGUGGGGAUUUUUUUUUUUUUUUUUUUUUACAACCGUUUCCUCUACUGCCCAAUUUGAACAAGCGAAAACACGCAGAAGUGCCUCCAGGAUUUGCUGAAGGGUAUUUCCUCCUUCUCGAUUAGAACGCCAACCCCGAGGAUUUGGGAAAAGAGCAACCGAGGGAUGCCGAGUGAACAAUCUCCAAGGUUAGCGGCGCUGUAGGUGAAGCCCGCUUGGACCGGUUUGGGUCCUGAGGGCCGAGAGCAGCAGGACGGAGCACAAGAAACAAAACCCGUCCAGCGAUUCGCAAGGCCCUUUUUCUUCUGACCCUGUCACAUCACGACACUUUUACUUCAAAAGAUCCGGCAGCUCUCAGGGGUCUUUGGACCCCAAAUACCAAUUAGAGAGAUUAGAGAGGAGUCAAAACAAGAGCCGAGGAGUUUUACUAACCUUACCGUCCGACCCCCUCCCUCCCUCUCCUCUCCUCUCUGCCUCAUCCAGCUGGCACUCCAUUCCAACAAACUUACUUCAGACUUCAUUUCAAACAUGAAAGUUGAAGACUGAGAAGGCCUAAAUUUCGAAAUGGUCGAGCGUUUCUGCUCGCCGUAUAAGCCGCGGCCUCAAAUCUCUACUUUUGAGAGAGAUUCUCACUAUUAUUCAGAAAGAACGAAAGAGAAAAAAACUGAGCAACACACCGGGCCUUAACAUACUUACAUUUUACUUUUAAGGCUGAGUUUAUAAAGCACAGCAGAGCCCAAAUCCCUCCAGUGUUGGACGGCUGCCAAAGCAGAACAACAGCCAGAGUGAGUGGAGCCAGCAGCUCUAAUGGAGCGCUCCCUGUAACUGUACCUCUUAGAGCAGUUCUCAUUGACAUUCUUCACUUCUACACCACCCAUUUUCAAAUUGUUCCAAUUUUAGGGGGGCAGGGAGAGGCUAGUGCACCCCCAUUUCCCCCCGUCCCCCUUUUUUUUCUAGGUAUUUCAAAGUAAUAGUUGGAUCCAUGUGGUUGUUCACGGCGACUCGCUCACGAUGGCAUUUCCAGAAAUGGAAUGCGGUUCCCCAGAGUUAGGUUUUGUAAAUACUUAUAGAGAGACAGACGUGCUUCUUCAGUUCGUCUCCACCGCUGUCAGAUGUCAUUAUACACAAAGCUGCCCUGCCAGAACAAUGCGCUGAGCUUCGUAUUAAACAGCCUCCAAAGCCUGGAAACAGGCAGGGGGCGGGAUGAGGGGGCAGUAAUAAAGAGCUGCCAGGAAUUUCAGUUUUUUUUUUUUUUUUGCAUACUUUUUUAGUUUUUUGUUUUCUUCAUUUUGUUUUGGCAAUCGAAAAUGCUCACAUGUCAGUUUUACUCCGUCAGCAAGAAGGAAAGUUGCUGAUGGGAAAUUUUCUGUGAAAAAAAAAAAAAAGAACCUUUAACCUUUUGUUCUUCUGCGCAGUAAUCCAAGCCACUGCCACGGCGAAGCCUUUGCCAGACACGUCUCCAUCACUUAUUGCACCAUCUACAAAAAAACUUUGGGAGUUGCGAAUGACGCUGUCCUUCACGUUCUUGAGCAGAUGACCCAAGAACUUCAGUCACACAAGACCACUUUUCAGCUCUGUGGUGAUCGUGAAACCAACUCCCUACUGGCCAUUGGAACCGUGUCUGUCCUGAUCUUCGGAAAGGAGGACUGAUAGUGUGAUGGUCAUCAUAGUGUGCUGCUACACUUUUCAGCAGGUGUGUGUGUGGCCAGUCCUCUCUGUGCUGCUGACAGAUGUCUGGAAAACGCCAUGCAUAAAUGAGACAAGACUUCCACAUAUAAAAGGCUAUGGCUGAUUGGAAGAAGUUCAUUAGCUCCUGUAUUAAUAUUGUUGAUGUCUAAUUCCAAUUUUUUUUUGCAUUGGACAGUUUGAUUUGCUUGACUCUUAUGGCAUCUUAUGCGGCAGAUGAGUAAUAUCUUCAUUGUUCUGUCUUUUCACAGAAUUGUUUCAGAAUCAGAUGCCCAUCCGGCCUUUAAAUCCUGACCAGUAGUCUUGUUUUGUUGUGUCUAUGUGAAACUUAAACAUAAUGAAGAUGUUAAAAAUAAUUGAACUCGUGUCUUCAGUCCGACAAGCCGAUGACAUCUCUUGUUCCAGGACCUUGAGUAAAAUAUGCAAUGACAAAAUAUAUAUUUUAAUCCUUCGUAACAAUAAAAGUAAACUACGGUAGUUUUAGAUGUUUCAAGAAAUUCAAUGUCAAGUAACAUUUUCUUUACUUCAGAAUAUUUUUCUUAAAAUAAGAUAAUAUAUCUUACAAGUAAAAUUGGCUUGUUCUAAGU
Molecule: long non-coding RNA, 2607 nt
Organism: Xiphophorus maculatus (southern platyfish)
Lineage: Eukaryota; Metazoa; Chordata; Actinopteri; Cyprinodontiformes; Poeciliidae
Exons: 3
Source: RefSeq, a predicted model, not a curated record